CGUUAUGGCUAGGACAAUGGUGGGCCGAUGAAGCGUGUCAGAUCUGGAAGGAAGCAGCACUAAGUUGGUGCCGCCAUGUGUCUGAAUUUAAUAUAAGCC
Molecule: non-coding RNA, 99 nt
Organism: Vagococcus teuberi
Lineage: Bacteria; Bacillati; Bacillota; Bacilli; Lactobacillales; Enterococcaceae
Rfam family: Bacterial small signal recognition particle RNA
About the family: The signal recognition particle (SRP) is a universally conserved ribonucleoprotein involved in the co-translational targeting of proteins to membranes. Archaeal SRP consists of a 7S RNA and homologues of the eukaryotic SRP19 and SRP54 proteins.
Source: Rfam